This 65-nucleotide transfer RNA is filed under the name Pyganodon grandis (giant floater mussel). RNAcentral describes it as "tRNA-Met". Lineage: Eukaryota; Metazoa; Mollusca; Bivalvia; Unionida; Unionidae. The record is from RNAcentral.
AGUAGGGUAAGCUAAUUAACAAGCUAUCGGGCUCAUAACCCAAAAAUAGAAUCUUCUUCCUACUA